This 253-nucleotide ribosomal RNA is filed under the name uncultured bacterium. RNAcentral's name for it is "partial 16S ribosomal RNA". It matches the Rfam family "Bacterial small subunit ribosomal RNA", at positions 524 to 776 of the family's 1533-position model. The record is from RNAcentral.
UACGAAGGGGGCUAGCGUUGUUCGGAGUUACUGGGCGUAAAGGGCGCGUAGGCGGCGCACCAAGUCAGGCGUGAAAGCCCUGGGCUCAACCCGGGAAUUGCGCUUGAGACUGGUGUGCUUGAGUACGGGAGAGGAUAGUGGAAUUCCCAGUGUAGAGGUGAAAUUCGUAGAUAUUGGGAAGAACACCGGUGGCGAAGGCGGCUAUCUGGACCGAUACUGACGCUGAGGAGCGAAAGCGUGGGGAGCGAACAGG